AACGGAUAAAAGCUACCCCGGGGAUAACAGGCUUAUCUCCCCCAAGAGUCCACAUCGACGGGGAGGUUUGGCACCUCGAUGUCGGCUCAUCGCAUCCUGGGGCUGUAGUCGGUCCCAAGGGUUGGGCUGUUCGCCCAUUAAAGCGGUACGCGAGCUGGGUUCAGAACGUCGUGAGACAGUUCGGUCCCUAUCCGUCGUGGGCGUAGGAAAUUUGAGAGGAGCUGUCCUUAGUACGAGAGGACCGGGAUGGACGCACCGCUGGUGUACCAGUUGUUCUGCCAAGGGCAUAGCUGGGUAGCUAUGUGCGGAAGGGAUAAGUGCUGAAAGCAUCUAAGCAUGAAGCCCCCCUCAAGAUGAGAUUUCCCAUAGCGUAAGCUAGUAAGAUCCCUGAAAGAUGAUCAGGUUGAUAGGUUCGAGGUGGAAGCAUGGUGACAUGUGGAGCUGACGAAUACUAAUAGAUCGAGGACUUAACCAUAUAA
RNAcentral lists this ribosomal RNA (479 nucleotides) under Bacillus cereus. RNAcentral's name for it is "bacterial LSU rRNA". It matches the Rfam family "Bacterial large subunit ribosomal RNA", at positions 2451 to 2925 of the family's 2925-position model. Lineage: Bacteria; Bacillati; Bacillota; Bacilli; Caryophanales; Bacillaceae. The record is from RNAcentral.